RNAcentral lists this ribosomal RNA (1205 nucleotides) under metagenome. RNAcentral describes it as "bacterial SSU rRNA". It matches the Rfam family "Bacterial small subunit ribosomal RNA", at positions 309 to 1498 of the family's 1533-position model. The record is from RNAcentral.
CAUACUGGGAUUGAGAUACGGCCCAGACUCCUACGGGAGGCAGCAAAUCGGAAUAAUUGUCAAUGGGCGAAAGCCUGAACAUGCGACGCCGCGUGAGCGAUGACGGCCUUCGGGUUGUAAAGCUCUGCGUUAUGGGAAGAAAAACCAGUAAAUGAACAAUUUAUUGGCCUGACUGUACCAUAAUAGAAAGCCCCGGCUAACUUACGUGCCAGCAGCCGCGGUAAUACGUAGGGGGCAAGCGUUGUUCGGAAUCACUGGGCGUAAAGGGCGUACAGGUGGUUAUAUAAGUCAGAUGUGAAAUUCUCGAGCUUAACUUGGGACCUGCAUUUGAAACUGUAUAACUUGAGUUCAGGAGAGGAAAGUGGAAUAUGUAGUGUAGCGGUGAAAUGCGUAGAUAUUACAUAGAACACCGGUGGCGAAGGCGGCUUUCUGGCCUGAUACUGACACUGACGCGCGAAAGCUAGGGUAGCGAACGGGAUUAGAUACCCCGGUAGUCCUAGCUGUAAACGAUGGGUACUAAGUGUAGGAGGUAUCGACCCCUUCUGUGCUGUAGCUAACGCAUUAAGUACCCCGCCUAGGGACUACGGCCGCAAGGCUAAAACUUAAAGUAAUUGACGGGGGCCCGCACAAGCGGUGGAGCAUGUCGCUUAAUUCGAAGCAACGCGAAGAACCUUAUCCAGUGGCUUGACAUCCUCUGACAGCUGUGGAAACACAGUUUUCUCUUCGGAGACAGAGUGACAGGUGCUGCAUGGCAGUCGUCAGCUCGUGUCGUGAGAUGUUGGGUUAAGUCCCGCAACGAGCGCAACCCCUAUCUCUAGUUGCCAGCGUGUAAUGACGGGGACUCUAGAGAGACUGCCGACGAUAAGUCGGAGGAAGGUGGGGAUCACGUCAUGUCCUCAUGGCCCUUAUGCCCUGGGCUGCACACGUGCUACAAUGGCCGGUACAAAGGGUUGUCAAAACCGCAAGGUGGAACUAAUCCCAAAAAGCCGGUCCCAGUUGGGAUUGUAGUCUGCAACUCGACUACAUGAACCUGGAAUCGCUAGUAAUCGCGAAUCAGCAGGUCGCGGUGAAUACGUUCCCGGGCCUUGUACACACCGCCCGUCACACCACGAAAGUUGGUGGCAUUCGAAGCCAGUGAGCUAACCCUUUGGGGAGGCAGCUGUCGAAAAUGAAACCAAUGAUUGGGGUGAAGUCGAAACAAGGUA